RNAcentral lists this ribosomal RNA (458 nucleotides) under uncultured bacterium. Its description in RNAcentral is "bacterial SSU rRNA". It matches the Rfam family "Bacterial small subunit ribosomal RNA", at positions 28 to 507 of the family's 1533-position model. The record is from RNAcentral.
GACGAACGCUGGCGGCGUGCCUAACACAUGCAAGUCGAGCGGAGAUUGCAGCAAUGUAAUCUUAGCGGCGGACGGGUGAGUAACGCGUGGGCAACCUGCCUUUUACUGGGGGAUAACACAGGGAAACUUGUGCUAAUACCGCAUAACAUCAUGAGAGGACAUCCUUUUAUGAUCAAAGGAGCAAUCCGGUGAAAGAUGGGCCCGCGUCCGAUUAGCUAGUUGGUGGUGUAACGGACCACCAAGGCGACGAUCGGUAGCCGAACUGAGAGGUUGAUCGGCCACAUUGGGACUGAGACACGGCCCAGACUCCUACGGGAGGCAGCAGUGGGGAAUAUUGCGCAAUGGGGGAAACCCUGACGCAGCAACGCCGCGUGAAGGAUGAAGGUUUUCGGAUCGUAAACUUCUUGAUGAGGGACGAAAAUGACGGUACCUCAAAACAAGCCACGGCUAACUACGUG